CACGUGCAUUGGAAAUCGAAUCCAUGCGCGGCACUCAUCGUCGAGAGUAAUACGCCGCGCACCAACAGAUCAUUUCCUUCAGCUUGGUGAGCUUGGCAGCAGCAAUUAGAGCUCAGUGUUGCCUUUUUUUCUGACCUUUUUCUGACUUGAACUGCGCCGGGACACCUUUUUCCUGCUUGUGGCUGUUAGCUGUGUGGCGCCUCGCAUCAUCAUGCGUAGUCUUCAAAAUGUUUCGCGUGUGUUGACAAAUAUAUGUACGGGAGGUGGAGGGCUGGAUUCGUGCCUGUCGACGGUGUUAUCAUUAUGUUUGACUCACUGUGAUCUGCGCAUCUCCGGGAAUUAUUCGUGUUUCCAAUGUUGAAUGAUUCAGAAAUGGAGCACGAGCUGUCAGUUGGAUUCAUGAUUCUUCGGCAGAUUACUUAUCCUCUAUCAUUAGUUCUGCUAGGCAUCGUGGAUUGCGAAAAAUUGCAUUCGCAGAGCCCGAUUCCAGUAGCCCGGCUGUUACCAAUGAAGUGCUCAUGUAGGUGGCCAUUGAGGAACUGGCAAAUCGUUACUGGCUUCUAUGGUGACAUUAUCCCCAUUGAAACACAAAGGUUUGCGGACCAUACUAAUGUUAAGUGAGGCAUUGGACAAAGGCGCAAGGAAUCUUGUCAGGGCGUGAAGAACUGCGUUGAGAAUGUGGGAGUGAGGAACUUCAGUCUGAUCGGGGGAGGGAGGGUGUGGAGGCGCUGGGAAGUCAUCGAAGGCAUGUAAUUUGUCGACUGCAUCCACAAUUUGAGAGACGUUAACGGGAACAAGAUCAGCCAAGAUUGACAAGGAGUAAAAAGGAAUAUGCCAUCACUAGCCCACAAGUAAGAGAAGAAUAAAAACCAGAGGUAAGCAAUUCUAUCCCUUUUGUCAAUUUAUUCAACCAAUUAUGAUGUAAGGAAAGUCGAGUAUGAAAUAUCUAAGAGGUAUAGUGUUACUGAUGAUUGAGUCAAAUUUUUUUGGAAACUGAUGUUAGACUUGAUUGUAUUCAAAAUGGUAAUCAAGCAUGACAGUGAUCACCAUUGUAGUGCUUACCAUUAUUACAAUGAACCUUUGCUACAGAACAUAAACAAAUUGGUGAAAAUUUGUGUCCUUGUGUGGACUUCAACCACUAAAAUUUCCUGCUAAUUUCAUAAUAAUAAAACAGCAAUGUUAAGCUAUUGACAGUAAAACGACUAUAGAAGUUAAAGGAAUACAUUUGAAUGAAAAUUUUGACAACCUGAAGACAGAAGUGUUAUUAUAAAAUCUUUGUGAUUACUAUUACUUUAUCAUGUUAGAAGCAAAAUUAAAUAUUACUUACUUCAAGUUAUGCAUACUAACCACAACCUAUUUGAAAAAAUGAUUACCGAAAUGUUUAGAAAAUUAAGACUUUUCAACAUAAUAUGAAACUGGUACUUAUAAACGUUUUGAAUCUAGAUAUUAGUUAUGUUUAAACAAUUUAAAAAUUAACAAAGGAAGCAAGAAAUGACACUAGUCUUGAAAUGAAUUAAUGCAUGCAAAAAAAAAAAAAAAAAAAAAAAAAGAAAAAGAAAAAAGAAGAA
Molecule: long non-coding RNA, 1568 nt
Organism: Physcomitrium patens
Lineage: Eukaryota; Viridiplantae; Streptophyta; Bryopsida; Funariales; Funariaceae
Source: RefSeq, a predicted model, not a curated record